CAUGGCUGAAGGACCUCUGUGAUGCUGUGGAGGAGGCGGGGCUGAGCUUGAGCAGACAUGUCCCUCCAGUAAGAAGACCGAUCGUCUUUGAUGCUUGAAAUGGAGAUUUAACAAAAAUUUCAUUGCUACCUUCAAACCGAGAGAGAACCCCAUAGUAAAGGAGCUGUCAUCCUGACGUGACAAUUGUAAAGAAAAACAACGUGAGCGCGGCGAAAACAAAGAGAAAUGAUUUUCCUUCAUUUUUCCAGAAUAAAACAUUUUAGUGAAAGAAGUGCAAAUUUUACCCAACGGCACAAUAAAUCAGAAGAAACAACUUUGAUAUUUGUGUACGGACGGUGAAUAUUUAUUCUGUCCGAGUGAAAAGGUUUGAAAUCAUAUCUUGUGAUGUAAAUUUAAGAGUGGUUUUGGGUUUUCUUCUGUCCUGUAAUUUAAAUGCUAAUGGACCCUUUCUCGAAUA
This is a long non-coding RNA of Hyla sarda, 457 nucleotides long. RefSeq lists it as uncharacterized. Lineage: Eukaryota; Metazoa; Chordata; Amphibia; Anura; Hylidae. The transcript has 3 exons. The record is from RefSeq and is a predicted model, not a curated record.